CUACGGGAGGCAGCAGUGAGGAAUAUUGGUCAAUGGGAGAGAUCCUGAACCAGCCAAGCCGCGUGAGGGAAGACGGCCCUAUGGGUUGUAAACCUCUUUUGUCGGAGAACAAAACCCGGGACGUGUCCCGGACUGCGUGUAUCCGAAGAAAAAGCAUCGGCUAACUCCGUGCCAGCAGCCGCGGUAAUACGGAGGAUGCGAGCGUUAUCCGGAUUUAUUGGGUUUAAAGGGUGCGUAGGCGGUCCGUUAAGUCAGCGGUAAAAUUGCGGGGCUCAACCCCGUCGAGCCGUUGAAACUGGCAGACUUGAGUUGGCGAGAAGUACGCGGAAUGCGCGGUGUAGCGGUGAAAUGCAUAGAUAUCGCGCAGAACUCCGAUUGCGAAGGCAGCGUACCGGCGCCAGACUGACGCUGAGGCACGAAAGCGUGGGGAUCGAACAGGAUUAGAUACCCUGGUAGUCCACGCAGUAAACGAUGAAUGCUGGUUGUCCGGGUCGAAUGAGACCUGG
Molecule: ribosomal RNA, 506 nt
Filed under: uncultured bacterium
Lineage: Bacteria
Description: bacterial SSU rRNA
Rfam family: Bacterial small subunit ribosomal RNA
Source: RNAcentral